Molecule: ribosomal RNA, 446 nt
Filed under: uncultured bacterium
Lineage: Bacteria
Description: partial 16S ribosomal RNA
Rfam family: Bacterial small subunit ribosomal RNA
Source: RNAcentral
CCUACGGGUGGCAGCAGUCGAGAAUCAUUCACAAUGGAGGAAACCCUGAUGGUGCGACGCCGCGUGGGGGAAUGAAGGUCUUCGGAUUGUAAACCCCUGUCAUGUGGGAGCAAAUUAAAAAGAUAGUACCACAAGAGGAAUAGACGGCUAACUAUGUGCCAGCAGCUGCGGUAAUACAGAGGUCCCAAGCGGUGUUCGGAAUUAUUGGGCGUAAAGCGUGCGGAGGCUGUUUCGUAGGUCGUGUGUGAAAGGUGCGGGCUCAACCCGAGGAAGGCACAUGAUACUGGGAGACUAGAGUAAUGGAGGGGUGAGCGGAAUUCGUGGUGUAGCAGUGAAAUGCGUAGAUAUCGAGAGGAACACUCGUGGCGAAGGCGGGUCCCUGGACAUUAACUGACGCUGAGGCACGAAGGCGAGGGGAGCGAAAGGGAUUAGAUACCCGUGUAGUC